RNAcentral lists this long non-coding RNA (2896 nucleotides) under Equus caballus (horse). Its description in RNAcentral is "lncRNA (ENSECAG00000049760.1)". The record is from RNAcentral. Lineage: Eukaryota; Metazoa; Chordata; Mammalia; Perissodactyla; Equidae.
CUUAGGGCUAAGAUAGAGCAGCCAAUGAAGAACCUUGCCUCCAGGGCAGAGAUCAGUGUUUUUUGGUGAGAGUUCUCCGUGAACAGCAGUGAAAUUGCUCUGGUGGCAUGGUGGGGAACAUGCUGGAAAGUUUUCUUUUAAGGUGCUAGGAAAAUCUGUUCAUGGGGAGGUGUCUUGCUGGAGACACUGCUCUAUGAAACUGCCUGGGAGGUGCCAUGGGAAGCUGCUGGAUGCUGCUGGCCGCCAUGCACUGCAGGAGCCCGAUGCCAGCAAAGGUGUGCACCACAGGAGCUGGCAAUACAGGAGCUACCUGUGCUGCAGGAACCAGCCCAGAGGCCCCACAGAACUGUUUCAGUUACCUGCAGUCAACCAUGGUCUGAAAAUAUUACAUGGAAAAUUCACUGCCACAAUGUCUACAUCACUCAUUUCACUUCAUCUCCUCACAUACCCACUGUAUUAUCUCACGUCACCACAAGAGGAAAAAGGGUGUUUUAUGCAGGCAGUGAUUUAUUACAAGAGAUUCAGCUUGCAAGCCUGUGGAAGGACUGAUGAGUGUUCUGUCAGGGUCUCUAAGUGACUCCCAGAGCAAUAAAUUUCUAUUAGAUCAAGGGAGCAACUGCUCUGAGGCUGCCACUGAAGCCACAUGAGAAUCCAGAAGAUAUAGAAGCCACCACUGCAACUUACCUCUUGAUACACAAGAAUCUGGAGAAUGGACUCUCUUAGUUACAAUCCCAGCAUUAUGAAGAUGGAUAAAGAAGAUGCUGCUGCAGCUGCUGCAGCCACAGCUACUUCCAGACACACAGUAAAGGUGAAAAUAGGCUCUCACCUCAAGGGAGUUUAGGAACAUCCAUACCAUUUAGCUUUCCAAUUUCUCCAAAAGAAAGACUGUGGGAUGGAAUGGAGUGGCUAAAUCCACAGUGACCUUUGUAGGGGCACCUUCAUUUGGAUGUUCCACAGGUUCUUCAGUCAACUUGUCCAUAACCAAACUCAUCCUCCUCCUACAUUCCAUAAAUCCACUCUUUUUUUUGUUAUUGAAUUGUGUAUCAUAAUGAAUAGUAUCAUUACUAGUUUUAUAAAUUAUAACUGUUUCAUUUCCAGUGACUCACCUGCCCUUCAUGCCACUCUUCAAUCUCUAUUGUAAUAUAGUUCAGUUGAAAUGACCUCUUUAACCUCCUUAGUCUUGUCUUGGUUCUGAAUCUAAUGCCAGUGGCUUGGAUUGGGCCUUCUAAUAUUUUAAGUGACCUGUUGAAAUAACCUACAAAUUUCUGUUUAUCAUUUUAGCUUUGCUCUCUCCUAAUCUUAUCUCUAGACAUUGCAUCAGUUGAUAUUUCUAAACAAAACACUGAUUAUGUCAUUCUCCUUUAAAAAUCUUUCCAAAGCUCCUCAUUGCCUUCAGGAAAGUAGACCAAUUUCUUAUCAUUGCCUAGAGGACCUCAUGACCUGAUUAUGACCAGUCCCUCUAACCUCUCUUCUCACUUCUCCUCAAUCAUGCUCCGUGGAGCAAGUAUACUGACCCAUUUAAAGCACCAAGUCAGUAUCUUCGUAAAUACUUCCCUGUGUAACUGAAAUAUUCUGACCUCCCUCUGUCAUGUCUCUUCACCUAAGAUUUUCCUACCUCUAGAAGUCUCCUUGUUGAUGGAUCACCUAUUCCUAGUCAAGAUUAGGUACCACCCUAUGGUUCAUCUGCAUAUUUUAUCACUCAUAUAGCAUGUAAUCAUUUACUUCUACACAUAUCCUCAUUGAACUGUAGACUCUCUGUAUCUGCCUUUCACCUCUGUAUCUCUAGUGACUAACACAGAGCUUAGAGCAUAGCGUUUUGUAAAUGUCUGUGUAAUGAAUGAUUGAAUAAACUUUAUAUAUUAUCAGAAAACUUUAUUCUUCACUUUUAAUAUUUCCUAGUCAUCACACCUAACCACAAAAUAAGAAAAUUCAUAGCACUAUUAAAUAUAAUCUAGGGGCAAACCCAGUGGCAUACUAGUUAAGUUUGUGUGCUCCUCUUGAGUGGCCCAGGGUUUGGAGGUUUGGAUCCCAUGCACAGAUCUACACAUGGCUUGUCAAGCCAUGCUGUGGAGGCGUCCCACAUACAAAGUAGAGGAAGAUCAACACAGAUGUUAUCUCAGUGACAAUCUUCCUCAAGCAAAAAGAGGAAGAUUGGCAACAGAUGUUAGCUCAGGGCCAAUCUUCCUCGCCAAAAAAAAUAUAUAUAUAUAUGUGUGUGUAUAUAUAUACACACACACAUACACACACAUAUAUAAUCGGUGACCUGAUCAGAUAGGGCUGAUCUACAGACAUGAAAAUAUAGCUACAUUUAUCAAAUUAGUCAGUAGUUUUAAUUUUUUAGUUAUUAUUUCUGUUUACUGUGAGAGAUGAUCUGGUGAUGACAACUGAUAAUGACUCAAAACUAUAGCUUAUUGAUCUCUCUUUCAUGGUUUUAUUUUCCUCAGAGUAAAACUUCUUGAUACUUUUCUUUCUUUGCCCUUACCUCUAAAACCCCAUGAUAGUAUCUAUCAAGAAUUUCUCAAGCUGAAGUCUGAUAUUCAAUGUCUAUAUUCAUAUCUCUCAUACCCACUGUGUAAGAUGUCAGGCUAAUACUGACAUAUCUUUGAUUCUGGACUCCACACCCCUUUCUCCCAAUUUCUGCAUCUUCCAGAGUUUCUUCAUGAAAUAUUCACAAUUACCUGAAAAAGAUGAAUCUCAGAACAUAAAGUUAAGGAAAAGAGGCCAGAUACACAACGGUACAUCCUACAUGAUUCCAUUGGCGUGAGGGAUGAAGUAGACAAAGCAAAUCCUGCUUUUAGACAUCAGGAUGGUGAAUACUGUGGAACAUACUGUCAGGAAAGGAACAAAAGGAGGAUGACUGGAGGCAGGAAAGGUUCUGUUUCAUGAUCAAGGUGCU